CACGUAGGGCGCGAGCGUUGUCCGGAAUUAUUGGGCGUAAAGAGCUCGUAGGCGGCCUGUUGCGUCCGCUGUGAAAGCCCGGGGCUUAACCCCGGGUCGGCAGUGGAUACGGGCAGGCUAGAGGUAGGUAGGGGAGAAUGGAAUUCCCGGUGUAGCGGUGAAAUGCGCAGAUAUCAGGAGGAACACCGGUGGCGAAGGCGGCCAUCUGGCUCGGUACUGACGCUCAGGCGCGAAAGCGUGGGGAGCAAACAGG
This 253-nucleotide ribosomal RNA is filed under the name uncultured bacterium. Its description in RNAcentral is "partial 16S ribosomal RNA". It matches the Rfam family "Bacterial small subunit ribosomal RNA", at positions 524 to 776 of the family's 1533-position model. The record is from RNAcentral.